AGUAACUGCGAGUGAAGUGGCAAAAGCUCAAAUUUGAAAUCCGGUACCUCCGGUACCUGAGUUGUAAUUUGGAGAGACAAAUUUGGUUGGCAGCGCUGGCCUAGGUUCCUUGGAACAGGACAUCAUAGAGGGUGAGAAUCCCGUGCCCGGCUGGAAUGGCUGCCAUGCCGCUAAAUUGUCUUCGACGAGUCGAGUUGUUUGGGAAUGCAGCUCAAAAUGGGUGGUAAAUGUCAUCUAAAGCUAAAUAUUGGCGAGAGACCGAUAGCGCACAAGUAGAGUGAUCGAAAGAUGAAAAGCACUUUGAAAAGAGAGUCAAAAAGUACGUGAAAUUGCUGAAAGGGAAGCGCUUGAGACCAGACUCGAAACGUGAUGAUCGGCCUGCGCUUCUGUGCGGCUACAUUCGCCACGAUUCGGGCCAGCAUCGGUUCUGGCGGUCGGACAAAAGGUGGGGGAAUGUAGCUUCCUUCGGGGAGUGUUAUCAGCCCCCAUCACAAUGCGGCCAGCUGGGACCGAGGACAGCGCUCCUUUAUGGGGCCAGGAUGCUGGCGCAAUGGUCUUAAGCGACCCGUCUUGAAACACGGACCAAGGAGUCUAACAUCUAUGCGAGUGUUCGGGUGGAAAACCCUUGCGCGAAAUGAAAGUGAACGGAGGUGGGAACUCGCAAGGGUGCACCAUCGACCGAUCCCGAUGUCUUCGGAGGGAUUUGAGUAGGAGCAUAGCUGUUGGGACCCGAAAGAUGGUGAACUAUGCCUGAAUAGGGUGAAGCCAGAGGAAACUCUGGUGGAGGCUCGCAGCGGUUCUGACGUGCAAAUCGAUCGUC
This 820-nucleotide ribosomal RNA is filed under the name Genea verrucosa. RNAcentral describes it as "LSU rRNA". It matches the Rfam family "Eukaryotic large subunit ribosomal RNA", at positions 82 to 906 of the family's 3401-position model. The record is from RNAcentral. Lineage: Eukaryota; Fungi; Ascomycota; Pezizomycetes; Pezizales; Pyronemataceae.